Molecule: unclassified non-coding RNA, 3574 nt
Filed under: Hevea brasiliensis (rubber tree)
Lineage: Eukaryota; Viridiplantae; Streptophyta; Magnoliopsida; Malpighiales; Euphorbiaceae
Source: RNAcentral
GGUUAAUAACACAAGAAAACAGUCGCCGUCAAAAGAGAGAAAAGGCGAGAAACAAAAGGUCAAUGAAGAGAUCACCGGUUCCACAUCUCUGACAAGUGGAUGCUCCUAUCACUUGUAACUCCGUUCCUCCGUUGUCAUCUUCUUUCCUUUGCCAAAAAUAAAGUUUAAACUAAAGCAAGAAAAGCCACCAACCCAAAACCACUUUCUCUCCUCCAUUAUUUUUCCACUCGCGAAACCCACUUUCUGCCCUAUAAAAUCCCAAUCAAACCCAUCAUUAUUUCACUCAAAAGCUUUCUUUACCGGGAAAGUGAGUGGGAGAGAGAGUGCGAGAAAGGUUAGAUCAAGAGAAAAAAAAAAUUAUAUAUAAGAGUUAAGAAUAGAAUAGAAAUUAGAAUUUUGCUGUAUGUCAGUGAAAUACUACAGUGACAAUUACUACGGUGGAUACGGUGAAGUUGCUAACCCUUUACAAUGGCCACAGCUCAGGAAAAGGCGACGCCUUCUUGUUGCAGUUCCUCCAACUCUUCCUCUGCUGCCGCUGCUGCUGCAACUAAGGUUUUGCAGGAUUGGCGCGUUACCACUGUAUCUGACUCGCCACAGGAUCCAAUCACCAAGAGAACCACCAUGUCAUCCCUGAUCCGCCCUGUUGAGUCCCUCACUGAUCCUUCUCCGCCUAACCCCACUUCUGCUAAAGGAAUCCCGAUGAUGGCAAGGGCACAAACCAGCCACCCUUUGGACACUUUAACGGCUGCUGAAAUUUCUGUUGCAGUGGCAACUGUCAGGGCAGCUGGAGCAACUCCUGAGGUUAAUUACAGCUAUUUUUAUCUUGAAUUCUGGCUUAUAAUUGGGUAAAUUGUGUUUACCUUCCUGAGGUAUCCUCAAAUUGUACAAACAUCUUUCUGUUUUGAAAAAUACAAAGAAACCACAAAAUAACUUUCACUACCUGUUUUGUUGCUUUAUAGGUAGUAGGUUAAUGUUAAAUAGCAGUAAUAGCUUACUGGUGGAUUUCUGUGUACUUUAUAUUUUCAAGAUACAUGGGAUUUUUGUGAAAUUUAAAGAUACCUCAAGCUGGUAUGUGAACUUUGUCCCUUAUAAUUUAGAAAUUUAUUGAUGGAAGAAAUGAAGGGGUUACUUUAUUUUCAGGUGAGAGAUAGCAUGCGCUUUGUUGAAGUAGUUUUACUGGAGCCAGAUAAGCAUGUUGUUGCAUUGGCGGAUGCGUAUUUCUUCCCUCCCUUCCAGCCCUCUUUACUUCCUAGAACUAAAGGUGGGCCUGUAAUUCCCACCAAACUUCCUCCCAGACAAGCAAGGCUUGUUGUUUACAAUAAAAAGUCAAAUGAAACAAGCAUAUGGAUUGUUGAGCUAUCACAAGUGCAUGCUGCAACUCGAGGUGGCCACCACAGAGGCAAAGUCAUUUCAUCCAAAGUUGUUCCAAACGUUCAGCCUCCUAUGGAUGCUAUGGAAUAUGCUGAAUGUGAAGCUGUAGUGAAAGCAUUCCCUCCAUUCCAGGAGGCAAUGAAAAAGAGGGGUAUUGAGGAUAUGGAUCUUGUAAUGGUGGACCCCUGGUGUGUUGGAUAUCACAGUGAAGCUGAUGCUCCUAGCCGCAGGCUUGCUAAACCUCUUAUCUUCUGCAGAACCGAGAGUGACUGUCCAAUUGAAAAUGGUUAUGCUCGUCCAGUUGAAGGAAUCCACGUUCUUGUUGAUAUGCAAAACAUGGUAGUGAUUGAAUUUGAUGACCGUAAACUUGUUCCCCUACCACCAGCUGAUCCCUUAAGAAAUUAUACUCCUGGUGAAUCUCGAGGAGGUGUUGAUAGAAGUGAUGUGAAACCUCUACAGAUCAUUCAGCCUGAAGGCCCAAGCUUUCGUGUUAAUGGACACUUUGUUCAGUGGCAGAAGUGGAAUUUUCGUAUUGGUUUCACGCCCAGAGAGGGUUUAGUUAUCUAUUCUGUAGCAUAUGUUGAUGGUAGUCGAGGUCGGAGACCUGUGGCCCACAGGUUAAGUUUUGUUGAGAUGGUGGUUCCCUAUGGAGAUCCAAAUGAUCCGCAUUAUAGGAAAAAUGCAUUUGAUGCAGGGGAAGACGGCUUGGGUAAAAAUGCACAUUCUCUUAAGAAGAAUUGUGAUUGUUUGGGCUUCAUCAAGUACUUUGAUGCACACUUCACAAAUUUCACUGGAGGUGUUGAAACAAUUGAGAACUGUGUUUGUUUGCAUGAAGAGGAUCAUGGUAUCUUAUGGAAGCAUCAGGAUUGGAGAACAGGAUUACCAGAAGUCCGACGUUCUAGAAGGCUGUCAGUUUCUUUUAUAUGCACUGUGGCUAAUUAUGAGUAUGGAUUUUUCUGGCAUUUUUAUCAGGAUGGGAAAAUUGAAGCUGAGGUUAAACUCACUGGAAUUCUUAGCUUAGGAGCACUGCAACCUGGGGAAAUACGGAAAUAUGGUACAACAAUUGCUCCUGGAUUAUAUGCACCUGUCCAUCAACACUUUUUUGUGGCACGUAUGGAUAUGGCAGUUGAUUGUAAGCCUGGCGAAACAUUCAAUCAGGUUGUUGAGGUGAAUGUAAAAGUUGAAGAGCCAGGAAAGGAUAAUGUGCAUAAUAAUGCAUUCUAUGCUGAAGAGGAACUGCUCAGAUCUGAAUUGCAAGCAAUGCGUGAUUGCAAUCCAUUAACUGCUCGCCAUUGGAUUAUCAGGAACACAAGAACUGUCAACCGGACUGGGCAGCUUACAGGUUACAAGUUAGUACCUGGUUCAAAUUGUUUACCACUGGCUGGUUCAGAGGCAAAAUUCUUAAGAAGAGCUGCUUUCUUGAAACAUAAUCUUUGGGUAACACCUUACGCACGUGAUGAAAUGUAUCCUGGAGGAGAGUUUCCUAAUCAAAAUCCUCGUGUUGGAGAGGGAUUGGCUACUUGGGUGAAGCAAAAUCGAUCCCUUGAAGAAACUAACAUAGUUCUAUGGUAUGUAUUUGGAGUGACGCACAUUCCUCGAUUGGAAGACUGGCCUGUCAUGCCAGUGGAUCGCAUUGGUUUUAUGCUAAUGCCACAUGGGUUUUUUAACUGCUCACCGGCUGUGGACGUUCCUCCAAGUUCAAGUGAUUUGGAUCUCAAGGACAAUGGAAUGACAGCAAAGCCUAUCCAGAAUGGACUAUUGGCUAAGCUCUAGUGUACUCUUCCUUGAAUAAUUGAAGCCAUAGGCCCAAAUUCCAGGAAAUGCUAUUUGAUUAAUCUACGUACUAUAUUAUUUGGAAUGUUUCUUUUGUUAUGAUCACGUUAUCAAACUGUCUAUUAUGGUGUUGUUGUAACUCUAUCUUAACGAAGUACAUUUGUGUUGUUAUAGGCAAAUGUCUUUGUUGAUGUACCUUUUGAAUUGUCAUGUCCCCAGAUAGAUGCUUCAUGUAAGGGGAAUACAUUCUGCUGCUGCAGGCCGAACCGGUCGGUCGCAAAGUUUGUUUCUAGAAGAUUCUAAAUGACUGGAAUCCAGCUUCAUUAUGAAUGUGAAAUCAUAAUAGAAUAAAAUAUCUGAAACAUUAUUAUGUGAUGAUCCUUUUUCUUAGUAUGGUUGAAGUUGGGUGAAGCAGGAUGUCCAUCUGUCA